Molecule: long non-coding RNA, 143 nt
Organism: Populus euphratica (Euphrates poplar)
Lineage: Eukaryota; Viridiplantae; Streptophyta; Magnoliopsida; Malpighiales; Salicaceae
Exons: 3
Source: RefSeq, a predicted model, not a curated record
AGAAAAUGGCUAAUGAAUGUAUUUGAAGAAAGAAUUUUUUUUUCCUUGUUUAUAAUGUACCGAUGCUUUCCAUGGUGAAUUGGAUGAAAUAAUGCUUUAAUUGCUUCUACUAUUGUAAUCAAUAGAUUUGCUCCAGUUCUUUU